RNAcentral lists this ribosomal RNA (1401 nucleotides) under Triticum aestivum (bread wheat). RNAcentral's name for it is "partial small subunit ribosomal RNA". The record is from RNAcentral. Lineage: Eukaryota; Viridiplantae; Streptophyta; Magnoliopsida; Poales; Poaceae.
AUGACGUCUAGCGAGGGAAAUUACCACCGUAGAGGUCCUUACUUUGAUGAUACUAAUUUUGCUAGUUGGAAGCAUAAGAUGAAAAUGCAUAUUCUUGGACAUAACCCCACUGUUUGGUCUAUUGUGUGUAUUGACUUGCAAGGUGAAUUCUUUGAUGGGAGAGAACCAAACCGUGAAGCUACCACGGAAGAGUUGAAGAUGCUGCAAUACAAUGCUCAAGCUUGUGAUAUUCUCUUCAACGGAUUGUGCCCUGAAGAAUUCAACAAAAUCAGCCAUCUUGAGAAUGCAAAGGAAAUUUGGGAUACUUUUAUUGACAUGCACGAAGGUACCGACUUCGUCAAGGAAUCCAAAUUGGAUGUGCUUCAAAGUCAACUUGACAAGUUCAAAAUGAAGGAUGGUGAAGGCGUCGCUGAAAUGUACUCUAGGCUUGCUCUCAUCACAAAUGAGAUUGCCGGCUUAGGAAGUGAAGAGAUGACCGACAAAUUCAUCAUCAAGAAGAUCCUAAGAGCCUUGGAUGGAAAAUAUGAUACCAUGUGCACAUUGAUCCAAAUGAUGCCCAAUUACAAGAAUCUCAAGCCAACGGAAGUCAUUGGAAGGAUUGUUGCUCAUGAGAUGUCACUCAAGGAUAAGGAAGAGCUCCACAACAAGUCAAGUGGUGCUUACAAAGCCUCAUGUGAAGCUCCCACAUCAUCAAGUGAGAAACAAAAUUUCAAUGAAGAAUUGAGCCUAAUGGUGAAGAACUUCAACAAGUUCUACAAGAGCAGAAGCAAGGAAAGAAGUUCCAAGUCAAGGUCCUAUAGUGACAAAAGAUCUUCGAGUCGUGAGCGUAAUUGCUACAAUUGUGGAAGAACCGAACACUAUUCCAAUGAGUGUACGGCUCCCUACAAAAGAAGAGAAGAUUCUCCAAAAAGAAGUAGAAGAGAAGAAUCACCACCAAAAGAAAGGAAGAGUAGAGAUGAUCUUUAUGAACGAAGAACAUCCCGGAGAAGCAAGGAUUCGGAAAGGAAGGACAAAUCAUCAAAGAGCUACACAAAACAAAGACAUCAAGCUCAUGUUGGUGAAUGGGUAUCCGGCUGUGACUCUGACCAUCACUCCGAGAGAAGCUAUCACUCUGACUCUGAAUAUACUCAAGAUGAAGGUGUUGCCGGUCUAGCACUUGUGUCAACCAACUCCUAUGACGUAUUUGACUCACCAAAUGAAGGAAUUGGAAGAUGCUUCAUGGCUAAAGGCCCAAAGGUAUCACAUCCCGAGUAUGUUGAUUUCAAUAGUGAUGAAGAUGCCUUGUUAGGUGAUGAUGAUUUACUUGUUGACAACUCUAGUGAUGAAUACUAUGAUGAAACGUCAAUUAAUCAUGCUAAUCAGGAUAAAACGACAAUGAUAAGGAGAAGAUUGAGCACCUAA